Molecule: ribosomal RNA, 465 nt
Filed under: uncultured bacterium
Lineage: Bacteria
Description: partial 16S ribosomal RNA
Rfam family: Bacterial small subunit ribosomal RNA
Source: RNAcentral
GACGAACGCUGGCGGCGUGCUUAACACAUGCAAGUCGAACGGAAAGGCCCUGCUUGCAGGGUACUCGAGUGGCGAACGGGUGAGUAACACGUGGGUGAUCUGCCCUGCACUUCGGGAUAAGCCUGGGAAACUGGGUCUAAUACCGGAUAGGAGCCAUUUUUAGUGUGAUGGUUGGAAAGUUUUUUCGGUGUAGGAUGAGCUCGCGGCCUAUCAGCUUGUUGGUGGGGUAAUGGCCUACCAAGGCGGCGACGGGUAGCCGGCCUGAGAGGGUGGACGGCCACAUUGGGACUGGGAUACGGCCCAGACUCCUACGGGGGGCAGCAGUGGGGAAUAUUGCACAAUGGGCGCAAGCCUGAUGCAGCGACGCCGCGUGGGGGAUGACGGCCUUCGGGUUGUAAACUCCUUUCGCUAGGGACGAAGCUUUUUGUGACGGUACCUAGAUAAGAAGCACCGGCUAACUACGUG